GAUGAAGAACGCAGCGAAAUGCGAUAAGUAGUGUGAAUUGCAGAAUUCAGUGAAUCAUCGAAUCUUUGAACGCACAUUGCGCCCCUUGGUAUCCCGAGGGGCAUGCCUGUUCGAGCGUCAUUUCACCACUCAAGCCUGGCUUGGUGUUGGGCGACGUCCCCUUUGGGGACGCGCCUCGAAACGCUCGGCGGCGUGGCACGGGCUUUAAGCGUAGCAGAAUCUUUCGCUUUGGAAGUCGGGGCCCCGUCUGCCGGAAGACCUACUCGCAAGGUUGACCUCGGAUCAGGCAGGGAUACCCGCUGAACUUAAGCAUAUCAAUAAGCGGAGGA
RNAcentral lists this unclassified non-coding RNA (329 nucleotides) under soil metagenome. RNAcentral's name for it is "partial contains 5.8S ribosomal RNA, internal transcribed spacer 2, and large subunit ribosomal RNA". The stretch from base 1 to 120 matches the Rfam family "5.8S ribosomal RNA", at positions 35 to 154 of the family's 154-position model. The record is from RNAcentral.